AACAGGAUUAGAUACCCUGGUAGUCCACGCCGUAAACGAUGUCGACUUGGAGGUUGUUCCCUUGAGGAGUGGCUUCCGGAGCUAACGCGUUAAGUCGACCGCCUGGGGAGUACGGCCGCAAGGUUAAAACUCAAAUGAAUUGACGGGGGCCCGCACAAGCGGUGGAGCAUGUGGUUUAAUUCGAUGCAACGCGAAGAACCUUACCUACUCUUGACAUCCAGAGAACUUAGCAGAGAUGCUUUGGUGCCUUCGGGAACUCUGAGACAGGUGCUGCAUGGCUGUCGUCAGCUCGUGUUGUGAAAUGUUGGGUUAAGUCCCGCAACGAGCGCAACCCUUAUCCUUUGUUGCCAGCGGUUAGGCCGGGAACUCAAAGGAGACUGCCAGUGAUAAACUGGAGGAAGGUGGGGAUGACGUCAAGUCAUCAUGGCCCUUACGAGUAGGGCUACACACGUGCUACAAUGGCGCAUACAAAGAGAAGCGACCUCGCGAGAGCAAGCGGACCUCAUAAAGUGCGUCGUAGUCCGGAUUGGAGUCUGCAACUCGACUCCAUGAAGUCGGAAUCGCUAGUAAUCGUGGAUCAGAAUGCCACGGUGAAUACGUUCCCGGGCCUUGUACACACCGCCCGUCACACCAUGGGAGUGGGUUGCAAAAGAAGUAGGUAGCUUAACCUUCGGGAGGGCGCUUACCACUUUGUGAUUCAUGACUGGGGUGAAGUCGUAACAAGGUAACC
Molecule: ribosomal RNA, 730 nt
Filed under: uncultured bacterium
Lineage: Bacteria
Description: bacterial SSU rRNA
Rfam family: Bacterial small subunit ribosomal RNA
Source: RNAcentral